UUCGCAAUGCCCGAAAGGGUGACGAAGCGACGCCGCGUGGGUGAAGAAGGCCUUCGGGUUGUAAAACCCUGUCAGGAGUUAUGAAAUGUAAGUGUGCUAAUAUCGUGCUUAUUUGACAAAGGCUCCAAAGGAAGCCACGGCUAACUCUGUGUCAGCAGCCGCGGUAAUACAGAGGUGGCGAGCGUUGUUCGGAAUUAUUGGGCGUAAAGAGCACGUAGGUGGGUUUGCAAGUCAGAUGUGAAAGCCUUCUGUUCAACGGGAGAAUUGCAUCUGAAACUGCUAAUCUUGAGUAUAGGAGGGGAGAAUGGAACUUCUGGUGGAGCGGUGAAAUGCGUAGAUAUCAGAAGGAACGCCGGCGGCGAAAGCGAUUCUCUGGCCUAUUACUGACACUCAGUGUGCGAAAGCUAGGGGAGCAAACGGGAUUAGAUACCCCGGUAGUCCUAGCCGUAAACGAUGGGCACUAAGUAGA
Molecule: ribosomal RNA, 469 nt
Filed under: uncultured bacterium
Lineage: Bacteria
Description: bacterial SSU rRNA
Rfam family: Bacterial small subunit ribosomal RNA
Source: RNAcentral